Molecule: long non-coding RNA, 898 nt
Organism: Rosa rugosa (rugosa rose)
Lineage: Eukaryota; Viridiplantae; Streptophyta; Magnoliopsida; Rosales; Rosaceae
Exons: 2
Source: RefSeq, a predicted model, not a curated record
AUGUUCUCAGACUUGUGAUGAAAGCUCACCAGAACAGCCCACAGAAGAUCACUUUAUCCACAAAAAGCACAACCAAUCGCUGGGUCAAUGGGGAUUGAGCUUGAUUCUUCGUAGAAACAGUGGCAGAUUACUUCGGAUUGGAGGAAUCUCACCCUGAACCUGCUUUAGCGUCGACAGCCGUCGUCUUGGAUCUGCCUUGACGUCUACCACUGUGGUUGGCAGAAGAUUAUCCAUUAAGGUCCACUCGUUGGCCCUUCUUCGCGAACACUCGCUUCGCGGCCAUUGACUACGCGCUUCGCGGCCCUCAGGAGCUUCGUGGGUGUAUGGCCUCGCGACUAUUUGCGUCCCCCGCGGCGCUGGAACUUGAAACUCUUUUUGUAUUUUUUUUUUUUUUAACUAACUAACAGAAAGAUGCAAAUUGAAAAUUGACAGAAAAUUAAAAGCAAAGAAAGAAGCUAGCAGCAACACGUUUGGCUAACCUCUAAAAGGUCACGGAGGAGGCCAUCUAUGCUUUACUCCAAGCUCCGAUGUAUCAAAGUUUAUAGCAUGAAAACCUCUCUUGUGAGAGCUUGCAGGAAAGCAACAAAGAUACUUCGCGUCAAAAACUUGGAAGAAAUUUGGCUCGUAAAAGGAGUAAUAUUGCCCCCCAAGUAUCUUUGUUGGUUGACGAAGCAUGAUCUUCAAUUGCAAUUUUAGAGAUGAUGGUAUCCCAAGAUCGGUUUUGUCGCCAACUACCAUGUCAUAGAACAUGGUGUCUUCAGAAUAAGCCACAGAUUGGCCAUUAUAUUUAACCACUUGUUGGUUAAAAUUCUCACGAUCAAGAGCCUCAAAGAACUUGAACUCCUGCAUAUGACUUUUGGAAUCAAUAAUUAAAUUAUAAUUCUCAUCAUACUCGUCA